CGGCAAAGAAGAAAAAGCCCGCAGCUGCCAAGUCCAAGCCUAAGCCUAAGCCCAAGCCCGCUGCGAAAGCCAAGGAUACUAAGGCAACUAAAUCGAAGGCACCAGCUAAGCCCAAGCCAGCUGCUAAGCCUAAAGCCAAAGCUCCAGCCAAGGCCAAACCCGCUGCUAAACCAAAGGCUUCUGCUGCUGCCAAGCCCAAGCCUGCUGCCGCCAAGCCCAAAGCCGCUAAACCAGCUGCCAAGUCCAAGCCUGCUGCUAAAACAAAGGCUGUUCCUGC
RNAcentral lists this long non-coding RNA (277 nucleotides) under Glycine max (soybean). RNAcentral's name for it is "long non-coding RNA (GMAX_LNC002131)". Lineage: Eukaryota; Viridiplantae; Streptophyta; Magnoliopsida; Fabales; Fabaceae. The record is from RNAcentral.